This 253-nucleotide ribosomal RNA is filed under the name uncultured bacterium. RNAcentral describes it as "partial 16S ribosomal RNA". It matches the Rfam family "Bacterial small subunit ribosomal RNA", at positions 524 to 776 of the family's 1533-position model. The record is from RNAcentral.
UACAGAGGGGGCAAGCGUUGUUCGGAAUUACUGGGCGUAAAGGGCGCGUAGGCGGCCUGCUAAGUCGAACGUGAAAUCCCUGGGCUCAACCCAGGAACUGCGUCCGAUACUGGUUGGCUUGAAUCCGGGAGAGGGAUGUGGAAUUCCAGGUGUAGCGGUGAAAUGCGUAGAUAUCUGGAGGAACACCGGUGGCGAAGGCGGCUCACUGGACCGGAACUGACGCUGAGGCGCGAAAGCAUGGGGAGCGAACAGG